UUGCCUGGAAAUGAUGAGAAAUGAUGUUGGUAGGGACAUCUGAGAACUAAUGAUGAGCAAUCAACAUCCCUGAACCAGGCAU
Molecule: small nucleolar RNA, 82 nt
Filed under: Leptobrachium leishanense (Leishan spiny toad)
Lineage: Eukaryota; Metazoa; Chordata; Amphibia; Anura; Megophryidae
Description: Small nucleolar RNA SNORD74 (ENSLLEG00000030700.1)
Rfam family: Small nucleolar RNA SNORD74
About the family: Z18 also identified as U74 (SNORD74) belongs to the C/D class of snoRNA which contain the C (UGAUGA) and D (CUGA) box motifs. Most of the members of the box C/D family function in directing site-specific 2'-O-methylation of substrate RNAs. U74 is predicted to guide the 2'O-ribose methylation of 28S rRNA residue C3820.
Source: Rfam by way of RNAcentral